UACGUAGGGUGCAAGCGUUGUCCGGAAUUAUUGGGCGUAAAGAGCUCGUAGGCGGUUUGUCGCGUCUGCUGUGAAAACUCGAGGCUUAACCCCGGGCCUGCAGUGGGUACGGGCAGACUAGAGUGCGGUAGGGGAGACUGGAAUUCCUGGUGUAGCGGUGAAAUGCGCAGAUAUCAGGAGGAACACCGGUGGCGAAGGCGGGUCUCUGGGCCGUAACUGACGCUGAGGAGCGAAAGCGUGGGGAGCGAACAGG
Molecule: ribosomal RNA, 253 nt
Filed under: uncultured bacterium
Lineage: Bacteria
Description: partial 16S ribosomal RNA
Rfam family: Bacterial small subunit ribosomal RNA
Source: RNAcentral